Long non-coding RNA from Rhipicephalus sanguineus (brown dog tick), 501 nucleotides. RefSeq lists it as uncharacterized. The transcript has 3 exons. The record is from RefSeq and is a predicted model, not a curated record. NCBI's taxonomy places the organism in Eukaryota, Metazoa, Arthropoda, Arachnida, Ixodida, Ixodidae.
AAAAGGUGGAUUCCGGUUCGCAUACAACUCUACUAUGCACUUAUCGCAGGCACCGAGGUGACGCUCCUUCGGCUAGGCCGCGGUGUCCAGUGGCUGCCUGGGCUGCAGUGUGGUUCUGCGUUGCGUCAACCUUCUCUCUGGCGGCGGACGCGGCAAAUGUGGCUGGCCUGGUCUCCCUAUUACUGCCUGGUUCCGACGGUGACGUCGAUGCAGCGGCCUGCCCGGACCUGUACCGGCGCUACAGCCGUAGACACACGCAGUGCGUGCGGCCCCCGAAGUCGUGCCAUCCUCUGCACGAGGGCGUCUCCGAGGCUGACCGGCAGCUCAUCGUAGACGAGCACAAUGCAUUCCGCAACCGCCUCGCCUCAGGAGCCGAGGCCGCCGGCGGGUUACCUGCCGCUGCGAACAUGAUGUACCUGGAGUGGAACGACGAGCUGGCGGCCGUGGCACAGAAGUUGGCCAGCAUGUGCGCCAUCAAACCGGACUGCGCAGACUGCAGAC